UGUAACUGUGGACAACAACACUAUGUACACCAUCAGUUGUACAGGUCAGGGAUACCCAGAACCUACAGUCACACUAAUGGUCGACAAUGUGGUAGUGACUGGCACUUAUACCAACAAUUGUGCUGCUGGCGUUUGUAUAAAGACACGAACAGCACCACUAGAUGGUAGUACCUACACACCUGGCCAGUCCAUCAAUAUCACCUGUACUGUGGAUAUCAACCAACCACCAUUCACUUGUACUGCUGCUCAGAAUCCAACUGUACAGGCACAGUGUAAUGCUUCUGCCAAGUCCAGGUCACAAACAAGAAUGUUAACUGUAGUUGCACAAUGUCCAUAUCUUGAUGAUCUCGGCUUCAAUUACCAACCUAUUACCGGUUCCAGCAGGACGUUUGGCACCAACAUAUCCAUACAAUGCCGAACAGGUUACCUGUCCACCAACGCUCUCAGUACCACCAAAACUACAUGCCAGAGCGGUGGAGUAUGGAGUCCAAGUCCUCCAGGGUGUGAAAAUUGCAGCAUCAGGUGUGCCGGUGACAAUAUGGUUGUAGCCUGUAAUCACAUGAUGGGAACACUCGCCGUAAACUGUGUUUGUCCGAC
Molecule: long non-coding RNA, 597 nt
Organism: Sycon ciliatum
Lineage: Eukaryota; Metazoa; Porifera; Calcarea; Leucosolenida; Sycettidae
Exons: 3
Source: RefSeq, a predicted model, not a curated record